Molecule: ribosomal RNA, 497 nt
Filed under: uncultured bacterium
Lineage: Bacteria
Description: partial 16S ribosomal RNA
Rfam family: Bacterial small subunit ribosomal RNA
Source: RNAcentral
GAUGAACGCUGGCGGCGUGCCUAAUACAUGCAAGUCGAGCGAACAGACGAGGAGCUUGCUCCUCUGACGUUAGCGGCGGACGGGUGAGUAACACGUGGAUAACCUACCUAUAAGACUGGGAUAACUUCGGGAAACCGGAGCUAAUACCGGAUAAUAUAUUGAACCGCAUGGUUCAAUAGUGAAAGACGGUUUUGCUGUCACUUAUAGAUGGAUCCGCGCCGCAUUAGCUAGUUGGUAAGGUAACGGCUUACCAAGGCAACGAUGCGUAGCCGACCUGAGAGGGUGACGGGCAACACGGGGACUGAGCCGCGGCCCAGACUCCUAGGGAAGGCAGCAGUAGGGAAUCUUCCGCAAGGGGCGAAAGCCUGACGGAGCAACGCCGCGGGAGGGAUGAAGGUUUUGGGUUCUAAAAACUCUUUUAUUAGGGAAAAAAAAAUUUGAAGUAAAAUUACCGCUACUAGACGUUACCUAACCAGAAAGCCACGGCUAACUAAGUC